GAUGUCUAAAACGUUUCCUUAGAGAUGUUGCUACCUUUAACAAAUCACGGAAUUUAACUGGUCCCAGCUACCAUUGGAGGCAGUGUACCCUGGAGGACGUUUGUUUGGCUUGUGCUGGACAGGUAUGGGAAAGCAAAUAAAAACCCCUCAUUUGAGGAUGUGAAUGAAGAAAUGCCUUGUGUCAUGUCAGUGCCAUGGAACCUGGAUAAACUGGGAUGUUGUAAAUGACAUACCUGUAGUAAGUGUACAUUGAACACAGUCAGAUGAAGCUCUGUUUGCUGCCAGCUGCCAUCUUGUGAACAUGGGGAUAAAAAGACCAUAUUGGACUCUCUGCCUUUUUGUGACUGGAUCAUCAUGGUACAUCAGGAGUGCUGGUUUUAUGCUAAUCGCUCCGGCAUCAUCCAGGACAAGAUCAAGACCCUCCAAAAAGACCUUGACCUGUGGUUGGGCCUUGGGAGAUGGCUUCCUUAUCUCCUCCCCCUUGUGGGCCCCUUGCUCUCCAUUGUCCUUGUAAAUUUGUCCAAGAUCGCAUUGCUGCAGUCCAGUUAAUGGUGGUCAACAACAAUAUGCCACUCUUCAAGAACCGAGUUAUGCCGCUCUUUAAGCCCCAGAUUGGGAACCCUGUACAUCCGCCCAUGGCCACUGCCAAGAUAUAGAGGUAUAAUACCUCAUACCCUGAGUUGCUGAGGUGGUAGCCAAUGAUGGGUAAGAUCCCUGGGGCAGCCCUUAAC
RNAcentral lists this long non-coding RNA (731 nucleotides) under Oryctolagus cuniculus (rabbit). RNAcentral's name for it is "lncRNA (ENSOCUG00000035328.1)". Lineage: Eukaryota; Metazoa; Chordata; Mammalia; Lagomorpha; Leporidae. The record is from RNAcentral.